This 252-nucleotide ribosomal RNA is filed under the name uncultured Bacteroidales bacterium. RNAcentral describes it as "partial 16S ribosomal RNA". It matches the Rfam family "Bacterial small subunit ribosomal RNA", at positions 524 to 776 of the family's 1533-position model. The record is from RNAcentral. Lineage: Bacteria; Pseudomonadati; Bacteroidota; Bacteroidia; Bacteroidales.
UACGGAGGAUGCGAGCGUUAUCCGGAUUUAUUGGGUUUAAAGGGUGCGUAGGUUGUUUUUUAAGUCAGCGGUCAAAGCCCGGGGCUCAACCCCGGCCUGCCGUUGAAACUGGCGGCCUCGAGUGGGCGAGAAGUAUGCGGAAUGCGUGGUGUAGCGGUGAAAUGCAUAGAUAUCACGCAGAACUCCGAUUGCGAAGGCAGCAUACCGGCGCCCGACUGACGCUGAGGCACGAAAGCGUGGGUAUCGAACAGG